This 492-nucleotide ribosomal RNA is filed under the name uncultured bacterium. Its description in RNAcentral is "partial 16S ribosomal RNA". It matches the Rfam family "Bacterial small subunit ribosomal RNA", at positions 29 to 507 of the family's 1533-position model. The record is from RNAcentral.
AGUGAACGCUGGCGGUAGGCCUAACACAUGCAAGUCGAACGGCAGCACAGUAAGAGCUUGCUCUUACGGGUGGCGAGUGGCGGACGGGUGAGGAAUACAUCGGAAUCUACUUUUUCGUGGGGGAUAACGUAGGGAAACUUACGCUAAUACCGCAUACGACCUACGGGUGAAAGCAGGGGAUCUUCGGACCUUGCGCGAUUGAAUGAGCCGAUGUCGGAUUAGCUAGUUGGCGGGGUAAAGGCCCACCAAGGCGACGAUCCGUAGCUGGUCUGAGAGGAUGAUCAGCCACCUUGGAACUGAGACACGGUCCAGACUCCUACGGGAGGCAGCAGUGGGGAAUAUUGGACGAUGGGCGAGAGCCUGAUCCAGCCAUACCGCGUGGGUGAAGAAGGACUUAGGGUUGUAAAGCCCUUUUGUUGGGAAAGAAAAGCAGCAGGUUAAUACCCCGCUGUUCUGACGGUACCCAAAGAAUAAGCACCGGCUAACUUCGUG